UGGGGAAUAUUGGACAAUGGGCGAAAGCCUGAUCCAGCCAUGCCGCGUGUGUGAAGAAGGUCUUCGGAUUGUAAAGCACUUUAAGUUGGGAGGAAGGGCAGUAAGCGAAUACCUUGCUGUUUUGACGUUACCGACAGAAUAAGCACCGGCUAACUCUGUGCCAGCAGCCGCGGUAAUACAGAGGGUGCAAGCGUUAAUCGGAAUUACUGGGCGUAAAGCGCGCGUAGGUGGUUCGUUAAGUUGAAUGUGAAAGCCCCGGGCUCAACCUGGGAACUGCAUCCAAAACUGGCGAGCUAGAGUAGGGCAGAGGGUGGUGGAAUUUCCUGUGUAGCGGUGAAAUGCGUAGAUAUAGGAAGGAACACCAGUGGCGAAGGCGACCACCUGGGCUCAUACUGACACUGAAGUGCGAAAGCGUGGGGAGCAAACAGG
Molecule: ribosomal RNA, 429 nt
Filed under: Pseudomonadota bacterium
Lineage: Bacteria; Pseudomonadati; Pseudomonadota
Description: Proteobacteria bacterium partial 16S ribosomal RNA
Rfam family: Bacterial small subunit ribosomal RNA
Source: RNAcentral